This 468-nucleotide ribosomal RNA is filed under the name uncultured bacterium. RNAcentral's name for it is "partial 16S ribosomal RNA". It matches the Rfam family "Bacterial small subunit ribosomal RNA", at positions 28 to 507 of the family's 1533-position model. The record is from RNAcentral.
GACGAACGCUGGCGGCGUGCUUAACACAUGCAAGUCGAACGGAAAGGCCCUGCUUUUUUGGGGUGCUCGAGUGGCGAACGGGUGAGUUACACGUGAGUAACCUGCCCUUGACUUUGGGAUAACUUCAGGCAACUGGGGCUAAUACCUGAUAGGAGCUCCUGCUGCAUGGUGGGGGUUGGAAAGUUUCGGCUGUUGUGGAUGGACUCGCGGCUUAUCAGCUUGUUGGUGGGGUAGUGGCUUACCCAGGCUUUGACGGGUAGCCGGCCUGAGAGGGCGGCCGCGGACAAUGGGACUAAGAGACGGCGCAGACGCGAACGGGAGGCAACAGUGGGAAGUAUUGCACAGUGAGCGGGAGCCUGAUGCAGAAACGCCGCGAGCGGGAUGACGGCCUUCUGGGUAUAAACCGCUGUCGCCUGAGACGAAGCGGGAGUGACGGUAAUGGGUAAAGAAGCACCGGCUAACUACGUG